Molecule: unclassified non-coding RNA, 679 nt
Filed under: Hevea brasiliensis (rubber tree)
Lineage: Eukaryota; Viridiplantae; Streptophyta; Magnoliopsida; Malpighiales; Euphorbiaceae
Source: RNAcentral
AAUUACUAUUAAGUCUCACUUUAUACAUUAAUCAUUUUUCAUAUAUGCAUCUCAUAUAUAUACACAAUAUACAUCACAUCACAUCACAUAUAUAUAGAAAACGAUAAUAUAAAAAGUAUAAUCAUGGACUAUCCAUAGGCCUAAUCCCAACCACUAGGUUUAGGGUUAAUGAGUCUAGAGUUUCCAUCCAUUCAAAAAUACAAAUUACAUAACACAAGUCUUCAACUCCUUGAUGCCUUGUGCUCCCUUUGAUCUCCAUCGUUGUUUGGCUUCCUUUCUUUUUGUAAACUCCAAUGUCAUUACAUUUUAUAUCUUUGACAUACUAAGGCAAGAUUACAACUGAAAGGAGCUCACAGCCCAAUUGAAUAAAGUCACAAACCUAGACUUGUAAUUUAAAUUAAUAACAUAUUCCCAAAAUAAUAAGAAAAGCAAUCACAAGUUUCCUAAGUCUAUGAUCACCCAUCAUGCAUAUCAAUUACUCAAUAUUUGAAUGAAAAUAUAAUAUGGAACAAUUUCAUAAAUUGAACAUGUCAUAUUUAGCAUUAAAACAUUGAAAUCUCAUUUUAAAAUUUAAUUUAUUUAGUUGAGGAAUAGGUUAAGAGAAGAAUUUACUAAGUUAUUAUAUAAGUUACUUUUUAUAAAAGUUUCAUCUUAUACCAAUAUAUAUAUAUAAAAGAUG